RNAcentral lists this ribosomal RNA (403 nucleotides) under uncultured bacterium. RNAcentral's name for it is "bacterial SSU rRNA". It matches the Rfam family "Bacterial small subunit ribosomal RNA", at positions 32 to 419 of the family's 1533-position model. The record is from RNAcentral.
AAUCAACGCUGGCGGCGUGCCUAACACAUGCAAGUCGAACGCGAAAGUGGAGCAAUCCAUGAGUAGAGUGGCAAACGGGUGAGUAACGCGUGGGCGACCUACCUUCGAGUGGGGGAUAACAUUCCGAAAGGAGUGCUAAUACCGCAUGACAUCCCGUGUUUGGAUACACGGACAUCAAAGCAGGGGAUCGCAAGACCUGGCGCUUGGAGAGGGGCCCGCGCCGAUUAGCUAGUUGGUGAGGUAACGGCUCACCAAGGCUCCGAUCGGUAUCCGGCCUGAGAGGGCGGACGGACACACUGGAACUGAGACACGGUCCAGACUCCUACGGGAGGCAGCAGUGGGGAAUUGUUCACAAUGGGCGCAAGCCUGAUGACGCAACGCCGCGUGGAGGAUGAAGACUUUC